Molecule: ribosomal RNA, 515 nt
Filed under: uncultured Gammaproteobacteria bacterium
Lineage: Bacteria; Pseudomonadati; Pseudomonadota; Gammaproteobacteria
Description: bacterial SSU rRNA
Rfam family: Bacterial small subunit ribosomal RNA
Source: RNAcentral
ACUAGCAGUAAGAGUUUGAUCCUGGCUCAGAUUGAACGCUGGCGGCAUGCCUAACACAUGCAAGUCGAACGGUAACGCGGAGAGCUUGCUCUCUGGCGACGAGUGGCGGACGGGUGAGUAAUACUUAGGAAUCUGCCCAGUUAGUGGGGGACAACUCGGGGAAACUCGAGCUAAUACCGCAUACGCCCUACGGGGGAAAGCGGAGGACUCUUCGGAGCUUCGCGCUAAUGGAUGAGCCUAAGUCGGAUUAGCUUGUUGGUGGGGUAAAGGCCUACCAAGGCGACGAUCCGUAGCUGGUCUGAGAGGACGAUCAGCCACACUGGGACUGAGACACGGCCCAGACUCCUACGGGAGGCAGCAGUGGGGAAUAUUGGACAAUGGGGGCAACCCUGAUCCAGCAAUGCCGCGUGUGUGAAGAAGGCCUUCGGGUUGUAAACCCCUUUCAGCAGGGACGAAAAUGACGGUACCUGCAGAAGAAGCCCCGGCCAACUACGUGCCAGCCGCCGCGGUAAUAC